RNAcentral lists this ribosomal RNA (624 nucleotides) under Paracercomonas sp. 9-NZ. RNAcentral's name for it is "bacterial SSU rRNA". The stretch from base 1 to 443 matches the Rfam family "Eukaryotic small subunit ribosomal RNA", at positions 1387 to 1831 of the family's 1831-position model. Lineage: Eukaryota; Cercozoa; Cercomonadida; Cercomonadidae. The record is from RNAcentral.
UAGGCUUGCCUAGGUGCUUACUUCUUAGAGGGACUAUCGGUUUUUAGCCGAAGGAAGUUCGAGGUAAUAACAGGUCUGUGAUGCCCUUAGAUGUUCUGGGCCGCACGCGCGCUACACUGAUACGUGCAUCGAGCUUACAACCUAGGUCGAGAGGCCCGGGUAAUCUUUUCAAAUCGUAUCGUGCUGGGGAUAGAUCAUUGUAAUUAUUGAUCUUCAACGAGGAAUCCCUAGUAAGCGCGAGUCAUCAACUCGCACUGAUUACGUCCCUGCCCUUUGUACACACCGCCCGUCGCUGCUACCGAUUGAAUGCAUUAGUGAGCUUCAAGGACUGUCCUUCUGGGGGUUAAACCCUGGUUGGGUGGGAAUUGCCGCAAACUUGCGCAUUUAGAGGAAGCAAAAGUCGUAACAAGGUAUCCGUAGGUGAACCUGCGGAUGAAUCAUUAAACAUAUCCAAGUAUCAACCAACGCGCACUUGUUUUUGAGUGGAUUUCCUGUCUUUUUUCAAAGACUUGUCUGUUUCGGCCUGUGUGCUAUUUCUCGCAAGGGGAAUUGGCCCGGGAAGGGGCGGAUAGGAUGGAGAGAAGGGGGGGGCGGGAAUUGAAACUCAUACCUUAAAACCCAUUG